This is a long non-coding RNA of Pelmatolapia mariae (spotted tilapia), 495 nucleotides long. RefSeq lists it as uncharacterized. NCBI's taxonomy places the organism in Eukaryota, Metazoa, Chordata, Actinopteri, Cichliformes, Cichlidae. The transcript is spliced from 3 exons. The record is from RefSeq and is a predicted model, not a curated record.
CAGAGACUCUGUGAGGCCACUAUUACAAGGUGAGACGCUUUGCGUUGAUUGGUGCUGCUGGACCACACUGGAGGUGCGAGUCCGCCGUGUAAUGGUUUAUGCCAUUACAAAGGAGCUGGCCUCUGUACUCAACUGGACAGGGGAAAAAAAACAAGGACCAGACAAAGCAAAAAAGGGCAUUUAAAGACACAGCGCCGUGCAGAUGCAUAUUUGAUGGCCUGGCGCAGCAGGUAGGGGCGAACUCUAUGUCUGAGUUGGUCUUUGCUCAAGCAGUCCAGAAAUGGCUCAGAUAUGCUCCAGAUCGUACGGGUGGCGCGCAGGACGCACAUCAUCCAUCCCCAUCCCGGAGUAAAUAAUAAAAAGUGACGUGAAACAUAGAAAUGUAAAUAGGAAACUUUGUCUUUUAAUAAAGUAUUUUGCAAAUGAUACAUGUCUAUUGACCUUUUUUGGUUUUUUGGUUUUUUUCAAUAAAAAGCAACUGUGCGAAAGAGGUGG